CAGCCGCCGCGGGAAUACGGAGGGUACAAGCGUUAAUCGGAAUUACUGGGCGUAAAGCGCACGCAGGCGGUUUCUUAAGUCUGAUGUGAAAGCCCCCGGCUCAACCGGGGAGGGUCAUUGGAAACUGGGAAACUUGAGUGCAGAAGAGGAGAGUGGAAUUCCACGUGUAGCGGUGAAAUGCGUAGAGAUGUGGAGGAACACCAGUGGCGAAGGCGACCCUCUGGUCUGUAACUGACGCUGAGGAGCGAAAGCGUGGGGAGCGAACAGGAUUAGAUACCCCUGUAGUCCCUGUCUCUUAUAC
RNAcentral lists this ribosomal RNA (301 nucleotides) under uncultured bacterium. RNAcentral describes it as "partial 16S ribosomal RNA". It matches the Rfam family "Bacterial small subunit ribosomal RNA", at positions 509 to 807 of the family's 1533-position model. The record is from RNAcentral.